This is a long non-coding RNA of Neofelis nebulosa (Clouded leopard), 605 nucleotides long. RefSeq lists it as uncharacterized. NCBI's taxonomy places the organism in Eukaryota, Metazoa, Chordata, Mammalia, Carnivora, Felidae. The transcript is spliced from 3 exons. The record is from RefSeq and is a predicted model, not a curated record.
AAGGAGACACAAGGGCAGGGCUGGGGGCUGAAGUCUCAAGGCCUGGAAGGGUCUUUUAACUUUCGCACUGACCCUGUCUGCAAUUCCCUCUUCCCACAAUCUCCCAGGGCCUGUGAACUGUGGGUGAUGCGGCUAAAGCAACUUGAACUUUGACGCCAUGUCUUUGAUUUCUCUGGAUCCCUCACAGCUUGUUACAAAAGUGGAAGUUGCAUAUGAAUGAAGCCACUCCCUGACCAGCUCCAGUCUCAAUUUCCUGGACUGCUCCAGCCCAUGCUGACUUCCUCUCCUCUGAAUUCCUGUUAUGUGUAUGGACACCAAUCACCGUUCUGAACUUAGUCAUCCGGGGCCUGCCACCUUGAAUCACGUAAUCUUUAUCUCCCUCAUGGAAGAAAGAAGACUUCUGUAAUUCUCUUAUUUUCCCAUGGACCCCCCUCUGCCCACACACAGGCAAUUGGGAGAGUCUCCACAACUACUCCUUGAAUGAACAGCAAGAGGUUCCAGGAGUGCCGAGGUGGGGUGGGACAGGGUUGACCACAGGUGUGUCUCCAACCAAAAACAUUUGGGGAACACAAGUGUUUCUAAAGAUGCUCCUGCCUGCCACCCCC